GAUGAACGCUGGCGGCGUGCCUAAUACAUGCAAGUCGAGCGAACAGACGAGGAGCUUGCUCCUCUGACGUUAGCGGCGGACGGGUGAGUAACACGUGGAUAACCUACCUAUAAGACUGGGAUAACUUCGGGAAACCGGAGCUAAUACCGGAUAAUAUAUUGAACCGCAUGGUUCAAUAGUGAAAGACGGUUUUGCUGUCACUUAUAGAUGGAUCCGCGCCGCAUUAGCUAGUUGGUAAGGUAACGGCUUACCAAGGCAACGAUGCGUAGCCGACCUGGGGGGGGGAUGGGCCACACUGGAAUUGGGACACGGGCCAGACUCCUACGGGGGGCAGAAGUAGGGAACCUUCCGCAAUGGGGGAAAGCCGGACGGAGAAACGCCGGGGGAGUGAUGAAGGGCUUCGGGCCGUAAAACUCUUUUAUGAGGGAAGAACAAAUGUGUAAGUAACGAUGCACGCCUUGACGGUACCUAUUCAAAAAGCCCCGGUAAACCACGG
This 496-nucleotide ribosomal RNA is filed under the name uncultured bacterium. RNAcentral describes it as "partial 16S ribosomal RNA". It matches the Rfam family "Bacterial small subunit ribosomal RNA", at positions 28 to 506 of the family's 1533-position model. The record is from RNAcentral.